Long non-coding RNA from Oncorhynchus keta (chum salmon), 283 nucleotides. RefSeq lists it as uncharacterized. Lineage: Eukaryota; Metazoa; Chordata; Actinopteri; Salmoniformes; Salmonidae. The record is from RefSeq and is a predicted model, not a curated record. The transcript is spliced from 3 exons.
GCUGCCGUGGUGGUUAUGGCCUUCGACGAGGAGGGUCAGGUGAGACUGUCAGACGCUACGGGGCUGCCGUGGUGGUUAUGGCCCUCGACGAGGAGGGUCAGGUGAGACUGUCAGACGCUACGGGGCUGCCGUGGAGGUUAUGGCCUUCGAUGAGGAGGGUCAGGUGAGACUGUCAGACGCUACGGGGCUGCCGUGGAGGUUAUGGCCUUCGACGAGGAGGGUCAGGUGAGACUGUCAGACGCUACGGGGCUGCCGUGGUGGUUAUGGCCCUCGACGAGGAGGG